AUAUUGGACAAUGGGCGAAAGCCUGAUCCAGCCAUGCCGCGUGUGUGAAGAAGGUCUUCGGAUUGUAAAGCCCUUUAAGUUGGGAGGGAGGGGUUGACGUUAAUACCUUGCUGUUUUGACGUUACCGGCAGAAUAAGCAACGGCUAACUUCGUACCAGCCGCCGCGGUAAUACGAAGGGUGCAAGCGUUAAUCGGAAUUACUGGGCGUAAAGCGCGCGUAGGUGGUUCGUUAAGUUGGAAGUGAAAGCCCCGGGCUUAACCUGGGAAUUGCUUUCAAAACUGACGAGCUAGAGUACGGUAGAGGGUAGUGGAAUUUCCUGUGUAGCGGUGAAAUGCGUAGAUAUAGGAAGGAACACCAGUGGCGAAGGCGACCACCUGGGCUAAUACUGACACUGAGGUGCGAAAGCGUGGGGAGCAAACAGG
This 423-nucleotide ribosomal RNA is filed under the name uncultured bacterium. RNAcentral describes it as "partial 16S ribosomal RNA". It matches the Rfam family "Bacterial small subunit ribosomal RNA", at positions 361 to 776 of the family's 1533-position model. The record is from RNAcentral.